Molecule: ribosomal RNA, 433 nt
Filed under: uncultured bacterium
Lineage: Bacteria
Description: partial 16S ribosomal RNA
Rfam family: Bacterial small subunit ribosomal RNA
Source: RNAcentral
AACGAACGCUGGCGGCAUGCCUAACACAUGCAAGUCGAACGAGACCUCCGGGCUUAGUGGCGCACGGGUGCGUAAGGCGUGGGAACCUGCCCGUAGGUUCGGAAUAACUCCCCGAAAGGGGUGCUAAUACCGGAUAAUAUCUUCGGACCAAAGAUUUAUCGGCGUUGGAUGUGCCCGCGUUAGGUUAACUGGUUGGUAGGGUAAAAGCCUACCUAGGCGACGUUCUAUAGCUGGUGGGAGAGGAUGAUCAGCCACACUGGGACUGAGACACGGCCCAGACUCCUACGGGAGGCAGCAGUGGGGAAUAUUGGACAAUGGGCGAAAGGCUGAUCCAGCAAUGCCGCGUGAGUGAUGAAGGCCUUAGGGUUGUAAAGCUCUUUUACCCGGGAUGAUAAUGACAGUACCGGGAGAAUAAGCGCCGGCUAACUCCGUG